ACGGAAGCUCACGAACUAGAAAAGUAAAUCAGAGAUGAUGCAAUAUGCAGAGUUUGUAGAAUAGCAUCAGUGAAGCUGUAGAAGAGGAGCAGAAGAGAAACCCUAAUCUCAAGGCAACCAAUUGUCCCCACAGAACCAGGUGGGUUUGGUGGGCGUUGUAGGGAGAAGGUGGAUGACAACAAUAAGAAAUAUAAACGCACUAGUGAAGGUGUGAUAGUUGGGUGCAGGGUGGCUUAGAGUCUGAUGUUACAUACCUACGCCAUUUGGAAGCCCUGUGUAUGCUAUCAAUCAAGAGGUCAAUGGCAUUUUACAACUGGUUUACAAGCAGCACUAUGAGCUUCUCUCUGUAAUUUUAUCCUGUUUUCAACAUAGUGACCCAUGAGAUUUGCCAUUCUGCUUUCUUUAUGGACUCACUUGGAGGGGUUUGAGCAAUAUUAAUGUGUGUGAAAUUAUUAAUCUGUUGGUGUGAAUAAUAUAUCUAGAACAUAAUCUGAUGGUGUAUGAUCUCCUGUUGAAGUAAAAAAAGUCAUUGUUGCUUAUCAAAUCGAAGGAGACUGAUGACAAUUCCAAGUUUUGCUUUGGCAAUUGGGGUUGCUAUUGUAGCAACCAAGAGGCAAACAAAAAGGAGAGAUUUUAAGGCCAUGGCUGUUGUGAUAAGGUAACGAGGAGAUGAUUGCAACAAUAAUUCAAUGUGUUAUUUGCUAAGUUGCAAUUUGCUACUUGCAGUGAGUGCUCUGCAUUUACCCAAUUUAUGGGCAAGGAGAGACCAUGUUACUGCAGUUUAUAUUAUUGUGGGAAGCUGCUGCUUUUUUUCCCUGUGGGAAGCUUUUUUUUUCUACACCAGAGAGAUUUGUCAUGCAUUUUUCUGUACAUCAUUGUUUCAUUUUAAUAAAUUUAUAUUUUGUAAAUAA
Cornus florida is the source of this 911-nucleotide long non-coding RNA. RefSeq lists it as uncharacterized. The transcript has 2 exons. The record is from RefSeq and is a predicted model, not a curated record. NCBI's taxonomy places the organism in Eukaryota, Viridiplantae, Streptophyta, Magnoliopsida, Cornales, Cornaceae.